UUUAUCCUGCUUGGUGCGUAAUGUGUCCUUUUGGACCCACAUCAUUUAAUAGGGAUGCAUAACUUCUGUGCCCGAUUGCAGACCUCCCGCAUUUUGAUGCGGACGUUGGGAGCAGCUAAAGCACAGAGAGGCAACCCACCUGCCUUUUCGUGCAGGUCAUAAUCGGAUGCAUACGGCCAAAGCGGGUAAACG
RNAcentral lists this non-coding RNA (192 nucleotides) under Oscillospiraceae bacterium. RNAcentral describes it as "6S RNA". It matches the Rfam family "6S / SsrS RNA". Rfam says of the family: E. coli 6S RNA was the first non coding RNA to be sequenced, but its function was unknown until recently. The record is from RNAcentral. Lineage: Bacteria; Bacillati; Bacillota; Clostridia; Eubacteriales; Oscillospiraceae.